This 644-nucleotide ribosomal RNA is filed under the name Streptomyces sp. 3212_5. RNAcentral describes it as "bacterial SSU rRNA". It matches the Rfam family "Bacterial small subunit ribosomal RNA", at positions 100 to 758 of the family's 1533-position model. Lineage: Bacteria; Bacillati; Actinomycetota; Actinomycetes; Kitasatosporales; Streptomycetaceae. The record is from RNAcentral.
GAACGGGUGAGUAACACGUGGGCAAUCUGCCCUGCACUCUGGGACAAGCCCUGGAAACGGGGUCUAAUACCGGAUAUGAGCCUGGGAGGCAUCUCCCGGGUUGUAAAGCUCCGGCGGUGCAGGAUGAGCCCGCGGCCUAUCAGCUUGUUGGUGAGGUAAUGGCUCACCAAGGCGACGACGGGUAGCCGGCCUGAGAGGGCGACCGGCCACACUGGGACUGAGACACGGCCCAGACUCCUACGGGAGGCAGCAGUGGGGAAUAUUGCACAAUGGGCGAAAGCCUGAUGCAGCGACGCCGCGUGAGGGAUGACGGCCUUCGGGUUGUAAACCUCUUUCAGCAGGGAAGAAGCGAGAGUGACGGUACCUGCAGAAGAAGCGCCGGCUAACUACGUGCCAGCAGCCGCGGUAAUACGUAGGGCGCAAGCGUUGUCCGGAAUUAUUGGGCGUAAAGAGCUCGUAGGCGGCUUGUCACGUCGAUUGUGAAAGCCCGAGGCUUAACCUCGGGUCUGCAGUCGAUACGGGCUAGCUAGAGUGUGGUAGGGGAGAUCGGAAUUCCUGGUGUAGCGGUGAAAUGCNCAGAUAUCAGGAGGAACACCGGUGGCGAAGGCGGAUCUCUGGGCCAUUACUGACNCUGAGGAGCGAAA